CUGAUCCUGUGUGGGGUUGAGGAUCCAGUCUAGGGCUUUGCAUGUUAGGAAAGUACCUUACUAACUGAGCUAAAUCUCCAGAUCCAGACCGCGUUUUGUGUUUCUAUUAUUUGCAAUAUUCAUUUAAAUUGGUCUUUUCUACAAACAAUUAUUUGUAAUUUGUGUGGUACAAUAGGUACCUUGAUAACAACGUUUCUGAAAAUGUAUGCAGAUGUAUCACUUGGAUAAAUUCUUAGACAGGAGAUGGAAGGUGGAAGGUAUCUGUACAUUCCUAAGGUCAGGAGGAAUAGUGAGCUAACUAGUGCUUUUCUCUUGUUACUGGGUGCUGUGGGCAAUCCAGAAGUGAAAGACUGUAUUUCCUACCCAGUGCAAGAAGAAAGCAAGAUGGAUUCCAGUGAGACGUUAAACUGCAGGACUUAUGUGUGAAGCCCAGGGUCUCCAGAGAGCGGGGUUAGAGAAGGCAGGACUAGACAAAGCAGUCAUGGUUGAGCAGACCAUGUCUGCAUUUCUAAAGGGGCAUGGGAUUUAAUUGGUGAGUGGCACGGGGAAACCAGAGGGUACUUUGCAAGGGACGGGGCCAGCCUUAGAGAGGGUGAGUGCUACACACACACACACACACACACACACACACACACACACACACACACGAUAGUACUCACAUAAAAUAGUGGCUUUGUGAAGAGAUCUGAUGCUGCUGGGGAUGUGAUGAGGGAUUGAGAGUAGUUGAGAGAUGGCUAAAAGCAGGAAAUGGAGACCAGGGAACUGUUUCAAGGAAGGGGUUAGAAAACAUUUGAAGGCUUCUGUGCAUUCCUCACUUGGGACAGUCCAUAGAAAACAGUCUUUAGAGUACCCUACAUCUCAAGUAAUUCACGCUACCCUCAGCUAGGUGCACACUUAGUAUCCCCUCACUUGGGAGGCUGAAGCAGGAGGUUUGCAGAAAAGAAAACAUAUCAUGCGUGGUUCUUUAGUCACUGACUACAGACAUGUAUCUAUCCGCAGAGACCUAGGCAUGAAGUGGCCAUAAGCUUGUAAAGGAGCUGAAAAUUUCCCAUUGGGUAGUGUUUGGAAACACAAAUAUCUCCUGACUGAGAGUUGCCUGUGGCAAUCAGUGUCAUGUUGUAUGGGCUUGUCAUGUAGGAGCAAAAGGCUUUGCCAUCUAGAUUUGUGUGAGUAUACGCCGAUAUUCCCAUGAUGAGACAUCAGGAGGUUUUUGUAAAUCUUACCUUGGUCUUGCAGGCCCUCCAGUGUCUGACUCUUGGUUCUUCUGCUCUUCACUCUCUGUCCCAGUAUUUACCUAAGUGAGCAAUCAUUUCAUUCACUAUGCUUUCCUUCUCAUGCUGCAUUUGUCGCCCAGAAAGCUCUAAUUGUCAUUCUUCAGUCUUAGCAAUUUUCAAAAGCACUCAGAGUUAGCUAGUGCUUCUGCUUGCAUUUCCUGUAGAGGGGUUUUAAUGCACUUUAUUGGGGCUUGGCAUAUCUCUUAAGCAUUUCUCCAAUUACAAAGGGGGCCCUUUAUAUAAUGUGGUUAUAGUUUAAAAAUUGUAAUUUCUCUGUGUGUGUAUAUAUGUAUGUAUGCAUAUGUGUUGAUGCAUGUAUACCACAGCACAUGUGUGGAAGCCACAGGACCACUUGUGGAAGUCAGUUCUUCAUUCUUCCACCAUGGACUUCCUGGCAUUGAACUCAGAUGGUCGGCUUGGUGGUAGGCGCCUUUACCCACAGAGAUAUUUUGCCUGCUGAAGACAACACUAUUUUAAUUGCUGAUACUGAUUUUCAUCAGUAAACUAAGGCAAUUGCCUAUUUAAUUUUAAGGAGAGUUAUGAGGAUGAAAAUAUAUGUGGCAAACAUUUCACAUGCAUAUAUAGGAAGAACUGAAGUGUUUUGCCCAUUUUCCACAUUUUCUAGACUUCAACUGUGUAUAUUAAUAAAAAAUAAUAAAUUAGUAGGGCAUUACAUUGCUGUUCUAAACUUGGUAGACUUUUCAGUGUAUUUUUGUAAGUCUUCACUUUUCAAUCUUAAUUUUCAGUGUCUGUGAUCAAGUUUAUCACAAAGCCUCACAGCCCUAUAUAUCGGAACGUUAAAAAAAACAAACAAACAAAGGUUGAUUUCAAGGAGGACCACUUGAAAAGGGAGUUACAAUGAGGGAUGGUCCACAUUAGGCUGGUCUCUGGGCCUGUCUGGGAGGAGUUUUUGUGAUUAGGUGUAUUGAUAGGACAAGACCCAGUUUGAAGGUGGAAGGCACCUGCCUCCAAACUCAGUAAUGCACACAUUAAUUCACUCUUCUGCUCAUGACUGUAGAUGUGCCAUGACUAGCUGUUUCUGGCCCUUGCUGCUGUGACUUUCCUGCUUUGAGGGACUGUGACUUGGAAGGGUCUGUGGAGGACAACAAGUUUCAACCUAAAACACUCCGAAAAGGUGCCGCCUACAGCAGGUGAUUUAAGCUCUGCGGCGCCUUCCUUGGCAAGUUGCUGCUUUGACUGCAGUGCUUUCCUUCAGCACUGUUGGCCUUCUCCUCCCUUUCCACCAGCUAAAGUGUGUGUGUAGCGUGCCCAGGCUUUCUGCCGUCACUGAGCGCCACUUUGUAUGUGUGCCGUAAGUUUCCCUUUCCCCGUUUGAUUUGAUGCUCUUUUGUAUUUGCCUUGCUUUUCGUUGUGCUUUUAAUUAUAUUUCAUUGUGUUCGAUGACUGACGUUGUAGUCCAUCUCUUGCUAAUGGCCGAGUUGUUUCCCUCAUUUAAGCAAUGUCUCUCUGCCUUUGAGAGCACACCUUGCAGAGCUUUAUUCCCAUUGGCUUUAGUGGUUGUUGCAUUCCAGAUUGUUCCUCUCUCAGUUACUGUGUUAGGAUUUUGAUAGUUAUAUGCAUUUUGAAACUAAGGGAAUCCUAUUUAUUUAGAUUAAAUAACAAAACAUAUAAAGCAAUCCUCUGAGGGCAGUUUUAAUAUUGUUAAUCAGCCCCCCCCCAACCACCACCAGUGAUUUAAAUAGGGAAAAGUAAAAUCUGUAGGUUUUGGUCCAUUAACAGCAGAUGGUUCUUCCAGAUCAGUGUGAUUCUAUACUGACUCCCUAGUAAGGGGAUUUUCUUUUCUGUCCUUUUCUUGGCUAAAUCCGUUGGACAGCAUUAUUCUUUGUAGGUGGCAAACAGACGCUCAAACAAAUGAGUUUCAUUAUGACCGUAAUCCUGCCUUUAUGGCACCGUUGUUUUUGAGUGUACUCUUCUGUAGACAGGAAUAAUUUCUGUAGACAGGAAUAAGUUCUUUAGUUUUUGUGACUUUCAGCAACUCUAAGAUUUUGAUGUACUCCUGGGUCAUGUGUGAGGGUCUGGUUUCUGGCACAGGUGCUGCUGAAAAGUUUGUCCUUUCCCAGCUAAGAGCACUGGGUGUGCAGUUUCUUCCUAACCCAAGUGCUAGCGCUGUGAGCUGUGUUUGCAGGCAUGGGAAAUCUGUGCAGCUUCCCAUAGCAUGAAGUGGGCUGACUCUCUGUCGGAACAUAGUCAGGCAGCUCUGUCUUUCUGAGAAAACACACAGCUUUGUCAGUGUUGAUGUGCUAACCCAACUCUCACCUCAAAAGAAAAAGAGAGAUAACUUAGUCUAGGCCAAUUGAGCAUUUCCCUAAUACUCACAAAGCUAGUCACACACGGGAGUGAGCAGUAAAUGGCUAUUCAUGUUCUAGAAUAACCUGUGAUGAAAGCGAUUCCCUAAUACUCACAAAGCUAGUCACACACGGGAGUGAGCAGUAAAUGGCUAUUCAUGUUCUAGAAUAACCUAUGAUGAUUUGGUUCUGUGCUUUCAAUAUUCCAUCUCCCUACAAUCACUGGAAUUGUAACCAGUCUCAUAGGUUAUUUAAUACAGGUAUGGCUUUUUCUUUGCCACAUCCCUUCACAUUGGACAAACAUCUGGUUAUUAAAAAUACAUUUUAUUGUUAGCCUUUAAUAUAUAUUAAAACAAUGGAAAUUUAUCUUUAUUUUUCUUUGUUUGCAUCUUAAAUUUCAUAAGAGACUUUUACUUAAUUUUGUUUACUCUCCAAAAUGUUGAGAAAUCUGAAGUAGACUAUGUUCCAGGUUUAUAUUGGUAUCAUUUGUUGAAAUGAUACCUGUGCCAAGAACUGUUCUAGGCAUGGGAGAUCCCAGCAGAUCUCCUCAGCCCUACCAUCCCUUCUUGGAUCGUUAGAACCACUCAGAAGCUCAACAAGACCCUGGGUCCCAUCAUCUUAAAUGCCAGAUACAGGAUAUUUAUAACACUAACCAGGGCUCGUGGUUCAUCACAAGAUGAAAUAGAGCUUCUGUGUCAAUAAAUAAAGUAACAACAGAAACUAAGAAAUAAAUCUUUCCAUACCCUGUAUACAUUUACAAAGUUUUUGUGUGUGGUGUAUUCAAAACCUUGCUAUGCAGCUGAAGUCCUAAGUAACUAUGAAACCCAGCAUCUCAGCCUCACUUCAGACUUACCAAAUAGAAACCCUCCUAUCAGUGAUACGUCCAGGUCAGAGUUAAGUCCCUGGAAAUGUGGGAAACACUGGCAUAAGAGGCGUUCCACACACUUUUCAGAAAUAAUGAAAACUAGCAGAACCUCAUAUUAAACGCUUAUGCUUGUUACUACCCAGUUGCAAUGCGUGUGACGCAUAUUUCAAUAAUGU
Molecule: long non-coding RNA, 4621 nt
Organism: Mesocricetus auratus (golden hamster)
Lineage: Eukaryota; Metazoa; Chordata; Mammalia; Rodentia; Cricetidae
Exons: 3
Source: RefSeq, a predicted model, not a curated record